RNAcentral lists this ribosomal RNA (300 nucleotides) under uncultured bacterium. RNAcentral describes it as "bacterial SSU rRNA". It matches the Rfam family "Bacterial small subunit ribosomal RNA", at positions 115 to 427 of the family's 1533-position model. The record is from RNAcentral.
GCGUAGGAACCUGCCCUUGGGAGGGGGAACAACAGCUGGAAACGGCUGCUAAUACCCCGUAGGCUGAGGAGCAAAAAGGAGGAAUCCGCCUGAGGAGGGGACUCGCGUCUGAUUAGCUAGUUGGUGAGGCAAUAAGCUUACCAAGGCGAUGAUCAGUAGCUGGUCCGAGAGGAUGAUCAGCCACACUGGGACUGAGACACGGUCCAGACUCCUACGGGAGGCAGGCAGUGGGGAAUAUUGCACAAUGGAGGAAACUCUGAUGCAGCCAUGCCGCGUGUAUGAAGAAGGCCUCGGGUUGUA